CGUGGGGGCCGGGUGCUCACCG
Molecule: microRNA, 22 nt
Filed under: Pongo pygmaeus (Bornean orangutan)
Lineage: Eukaryota; Metazoa; Chordata; Mammalia; Primates; Hominidae
Description: ppy-miR-1909
Source: miRBase by way of RNAcentral